GGACAUUUACCGUCCAAGUCAUUGUUAAAAACGGAUAUCCUCACUCCGUAGAAUAAUUUAAAAGGGAGAGAUCGUCUCCCACGAGUCCUACAUUUUCACAAGAUACAGCUCGUGAAGUUCCAGUUUGCUUGUUCGUUUGUGUACAAGGCGUAUUUCAACAACGUGCUUCGAAUUUAAAUGAACUAUAAAAUAUUGCUUUUGGGUUUGUUCCUUUUUCUUGGAACAACUUCAGUGUCCGCCAAGCCAAGACAAAGGAGAGCAGACGAGGUAUUAAAUCGGCUGCAGCUUCUCUCAGAUGAGGAAUUGCAGGCGAAAGAAAUCAGUUCCCAUAUAGAAAAUGAAGCACAAAGUACUAAAAGAGAGCCUCGACCGAGAUGUAGCGUUGGUCAUUUUUAUGGAAAAAAAUGUAACUCUGGAAGAAGAUAAUUUAAAAAUUUGAA
Long non-coding RNA from Pocillopora verrucosa, 440 nucleotides. RefSeq lists it as uncharacterized. NCBI's taxonomy places the organism in Eukaryota, Metazoa, Cnidaria, Anthozoa, Scleractinia, Pocilloporidae. The record is from RefSeq and is a predicted model, not a curated record.